This 300-nucleotide unclassified non-coding RNA is filed under the name Hevea brasiliensis (rubber tree). Lineage: Eukaryota; Viridiplantae; Streptophyta; Magnoliopsida; Malpighiales; Euphorbiaceae. The record is from RNAcentral.
GAAUAUGUGGGCAGAUAUCUUUGGGGUUGCUUUGAAGGGAAGCAUGAGCAUUCAGCUCAUUCGCAGCCAUCAUGUCAGCCUCAGUUCCACCAACUUGUUGUCCAGGAUAUACCUUAAAAAUAACCCGAGUUCCUCUAAGUGGACCUUGGGCCACUCUUCCUUCAUAAAGCCUGCAAAAGAACUGAUCUUGACACUUCCUUCUCCAAUAUCUUGUACUUUAAAGUUCCCUAUAUCUUCUGAUACUGCAUAAUCCAUCGCCAUUCCGGAUUGAAGCCCCGAGUAACUUGUGACGUUCAUGAA